GAAACCCUGUCCGAUGGUGAGGUCAUCCAAAGGUAAGACUGCCCAGAGGGCAGCGCCUCACCGUCCCGCAAGGGAUAGGACAGGGAGGAGGU
RNAcentral lists this non-coding RNA (92 nucleotides) under unclassified sequences. RNAcentral describes it as "DUF1874 RNA". It matches the Rfam family "DUF1874 RNA". Rfam says of the family: Hot springs metagenome only. Environment (Bison Hot Springs, Yellowstone) The record is from RNAcentral.